This 237-nucleotide ribosomal RNA is filed under the name uncultured bacterium. Its description in RNAcentral is "partial 16S ribosomal RNA". It matches the Rfam family "Bacterial small subunit ribosomal RNA", at positions 99 to 334 of the family's 1533-position model. The record is from RNAcentral.
CGAACGGGUGAGUAACGCGUGAGGAACCUGCCUCAAAGAGGGGGACAACAGUUGGAAACGACUGCUAAUACCGCAUAAGCCCACAGGUCGGCAUCGACCAGAGGGAAAAGGAGCAAUCCGCUUUGAGAUGGCCUCGCGUCCGAUUAGCUAGUUGGUGAGGUAACGGCCCACCAAGGCAACGAUCGGUAGCCGGACUGAGAGGUUGAACGGCCACAUUGGGACUGAGACACGGCCCAG